Molecule: ribosomal RNA, 1333 nt
Filed under: uncultured bacterium
Lineage: Bacteria
Description: bacterial SSU rRNA
Rfam family: Bacterial small subunit ribosomal RNA
Source: RNAcentral
AACGAACGCUGGCGGCGUGGAUAAGACAUGCAAGUCGAACGAGAGAAUUGCUAGCUUGCUAAUAAUUCUCUAGUGGCGCACGGGUGAGUAACACGUGAGUAACCUGCCCCCGAGAGCGGGAUAGCCCUGGGAAACUGGGAUUAAUACCGCAUAGUAUCGAAAGAUUAAAGCAGCAAUGCGCUUGGGGAUGGGCUCGCGGCCUAUUAGUUAGUUGGUGAGGUAACGGCUCACCAAGGCGAUGACGGGUAGCCGGUCUGAGAGGAUGUCCGGCCACACUGGAACUGAGACACGGUCCAGACACCUACGGGUGGCAGCAGUCGAGAAUCAUUCACAAUGGGGGAAACCCUGAUGGUGUGACGCCGCGUGGGGGAAUGAAGGUCUUCGGAUUGUAAACCCCUGUCAUGUGGGAGCAAAUUAAAAAGAUAGUACCACAAGAGGAAGAGACGGCUAACUCUGUGCCAGCAGCCGCGGUAAUACAGAGGUCUCAAGCGUUGUUCGGAAUCACUGGGCGUAAAGCGUGCGUAGGCUGUUUCGUAAGUCGUGUGUGAAAGGCGCGGGCUCAACCCGCGGACGGCACAUGAUACUGCGAGACUAGAGUAAUGGAGGGGGAACCGGAAUUCUCGGUGUAGCAGUGAAAUGCGUAGAUAUCGAGAGGAACACUCGUGGCGAAGGCGGGUUCCUGGACAUUAACUGACGCUGAGGCACGAAGGCCAGGGGAGCGAAAGGGAUUAGAUACCCCUGUAGUCCUGGCAGUAAACGGUGCACGCUUGGUGUGCGGGGAAUCGACCCCCUGCGUGCCGGAGCUAACGCGUUAAGCGUGCCGCCUGGGGAGUACGGUCGCAAGAUUAAAACUCAAAGAAAUUGACGGGGACCCGCACAAGCGGUGGAGUAUGUGGCUUAAUUCGAUGCAACGCGAAGAACCUUACCUGGGCUUGACAUGUAAUGAACAACAUGUGAAAGCAUGCGACUCUUCGGAGGCGUUACACAGGUGCUGCAUGGCCGUCGUCAGCUCGUGUCGUGAGAUGUUUGGUUAAGUCCAGCAACGAGCGCAACCCCUGUUGCCAGUUACCAGCACGUGAAGGUGGGGACUCUGGCGAGACUGCCCAGAUCAACUGGGAGGAAGGUGGGGACGACGUCAGGUCAGUAUGGCCCUUAUGCCCAGGGCUGCACACGUACUACAAUGCCCAGUACAGAGGGGGCCGAAGCCGCGAGGCGGAGGAAAUCCUGAAAACUGGGCCCAGUUCGGACUGUAGGCUGCAACCCGCCUACACGAAGCCGGAAUCGCUAGUAAUGGCGCAUCAGCUACGGCGCCGUGAAAUACGUUCCCGGGUCU